Molecule: transfer RNA, 63 nt
Filed under: Cionus olens
Lineage: Eukaryota; Metazoa; Arthropoda; Insecta; Coleoptera; Curculionidae
Description: tRNA-His
Source: RNAcentral
ACUUAAAUAGUUUAUAAAAAUAUCAAUUUGUGGAAUUGAAGAUAUGAGAUUUCAUUUUAAGUA